AGAGUUUGAUCAUGGCUCAGAACGAACGCUGGCGGCAGGCUUAACACAUGCAAGUCGAACGCUCGUGAGCGAUCACGGGAGUGGCAGACGGGUGAGUAACGCGUGGGAACAUACCCUCCGGUUCGGAAUAACCCAGGGAAACUUGGGCUAAUACCGGAUACGGCUGAGAGGCGAAAGAUUUUUUGCCGGAGGAUUGGCCC
RNAcentral lists this ribosomal RNA (200 nucleotides) under uncultured bacterium. RNAcentral's name for it is "partial 16S ribosomal RNA". It matches the Rfam family "Bacterial small subunit ribosomal RNA", at positions 8 to 232 of the family's 1533-position model. The record is from RNAcentral.